RNAcentral lists this ribosomal RNA (408 nucleotides) under Triticum aestivum (bread wheat). RNAcentral's name for it is "partial small subunit ribosomal RNA". Lineage: Eukaryota; Viridiplantae; Streptophyta; Magnoliopsida; Poales; Poaceae. The record is from RNAcentral.
AACAAGUUCGUCGUUAAUGAUGGAUUUGUGUUCUGCGCUAACAAGCUAUGCAUUCCAGCUAGCUCCGUUCAUCUUUUGUUGUUGCAGGAGGCGCAUGGAGGAGGAUUAAUGGGACACUUUGGCAUGAAGAAGACGGAGGACGUACUUGCUACACAUUUCUUUUGGCCAAAUAUGAGACGGGAUGUUGAGUGUUUUGUUGCUCACUGCACUACAUGUCAAAAAGCUAAGUCACGACUCAAUCCUCAUGGUUUAUAUAUGCCUUUACCUGUACCUAGUGUUCCUUGGGAGGAUAUAUCUAUGGACAUUGUUUUAGGUUUACCUCGAAUAAAGAAGGGGAUGGAUAGCAUAUUUGUUGUCAUGGAUAGAUUCUCGAAAAUGGCACACUUUAUACCAUGUCAUAAAAGCGAU